GACCUCGGAUCAGGUAGGAAUACCC
This 25-nucleotide ribosomal RNA is filed under the name Plagiostoma euphorbiae. RNAcentral's name for it is "partial 28S ribosomal RNA". The record is from RNAcentral. RNAcentral also lists the same sequence under 12 other names. Lineage: Eukaryota; Fungi; Ascomycota; Sordariomycetes; Diaporthales; Gnomoniaceae.